AUGAGUGCCCACAGUGAUAAAAUGUUCAUUGAGGGCAUUACUAAUGGCGGAUUUCCAACUGCCAAGGAAGAGGAUAUCUCAGAAACUGGUUUAAAGACAAUGUUUUAUGCUCGGCAAGGUCAAAAGAAAAACCGUUUUUACAAAUAUGUAUGGGAAAACUGUCAACUCACAAACCCAGCUAAGAAAAAGAAUGUGCAUUUACAGAAGUCAGAGAAGAACAACAGAUUUUAAGGUGAGUAUUUAUAUCUUAUGAGGCAAUAAUUCUCCUGGCAACCUCACUUAAAUCCCUUUCCUCUCUUUGCUCAGCUUUCCCUUUCUCUCCUCUCCAGUUAGAAUUUGAAUCAUAGCAGAGAAUUGUUCUAGGACUCCACCUUCUACAGGUAUUGGGUAAAAAUACAUGCAGAUGAUUAGCACAAAUGGACCAGUAAAUGAAUAGUCCACACUGAUAGAGACACAUACACA
Molecule: long non-coding RNA, 462 nt
Filed under: Zalophus californianus (California sea lion)
Lineage: Eukaryota; Metazoa; Chordata; Mammalia; Carnivora; Otariidae
Description: lncRNA (ENSZCAG00015024688.1)
Source: RNAcentral